GGUUAAGCGACUAAGCGUACACGGUGGAUGCCCUGGCAGUCAGAGGCGAUGAAGGGCGUGCUAAUCUGCGAUAAGCGCCGGUAAGGUGAUAUGAACCGUUAUAACCGGCGAUACCCGAAUGGGGAAACCCAGUGUGAUUCGUCACACUAUCAUUAACUGAAUCCAUAGGUUAAUGAGGCGAACCGGGGGAACUGAAACAUCUAAGUACCCCGAGGAAAAGAAAUCAACCGAGAUUCCCCCAGUAGCGGCGAGCGAACGGGGAGGAGCCCAGAGCCUGAAUCAGCAUGUGUGUUAGUGGAAGCGUCUGGAAAGGCGCGCGAUACAGGGUGACAGCCCCGUACACAAAAGCGCAUAUGCUGUGAGCUCGAUGAGUAGGGCGGGACACGUGGUAUCCUGUCUGAAUAUGGGGGGACCAUCCUCCAAGGCUAAAUACUCCUGACUGACCGAUAGUGAACCAGUACCGUGAGGGAAAGGCGAAAAGAACCCCGGCGAGGGGAGUGAAAAAGAACCUGAAACCGUGUACGUACAAGCAGUGGGAGCCCCACCACUAAGCCAGUGGUGAACUCCACAUACGCAUCCUUUGCUGAGGAGACGGUUAACGGAGCGAAAGCGACGUUCAACCUCAAAAGAAGCAGAGGGGGCUUAGUGGUGGGGUGACUGCGUACCUUUUGUAUAAUGGGUCAGCGACUUAUAUUCUGUAGCAAGGUUAACUGUAUAGGGGAGCCGGAGGGAAACCGAGUCUUAACCGGGCGUUAAGUUGCAGGGUAUAGACCCGAAACCCGGUGAUCUAGCCAUGGGCAGGUUGAAGGUUGGGUAACACUAACUGGAGGACCGAACCGACUAAUGUUGAAAAAUUAGCGGAUGACCUGUGGCUGGGGGUGAAAGGCCAAUCAAACCGGGAGAUAGCUGGUUCUCCCCGAAAGCUAUUUAGGUAGCGCCUCGUGAAUUCAUCUCCGGGGGUAGAGCACUGUUUCGGCUAGGGGGCCAUCCCGGCUUACCAACCCGAUGCAAACUGCGAAUACCGGAGAAUGUUAUCACGGGAGACACACGGCGGGUGCUAAUGUCCGUCGUGAAGAGGGAAACAACCCAGACCGCCAGCUAAGGUCCCAAAGUCAUGGUUAAGUGGGAAACGAUGUGGGAAGGCCCAGACAGCCAGGAUGUUGGCUUAGAAGCAGCCAUCAUUUAAAGAAAGCGUAAUAGCUCACUGGUCGAGUCGGCCUGCGCGGAAGAUGUAACGGGGCUAAACCAUGCACCGAAGCUGCGGCAGCGACACCGUGUGUUGUUGGGUAGGGGAGCGUUCUGUAAGCCUGUGAAGGUGUGCUGUGAGGCAUGCUGGAGGUAUCAGAAGUGCGAAUGCUGACAUAAGUAACGAUAAAGCGGGUGAAAAGCCCGCUCGCCGGAAGACCAAGGGUUCCUGUCCAACGUUAAUCGGGGCAGGGUGAGUCGACCCCUAAGGCGAGGCCGAAAGGCGUAGUCGAUGGGAAACGGGUUAAUAUUCCCGUACUUGGUGUUACUGCGAAGGGGGGACGGAGAAGGCUAUGUUGGCCGGGCGACGGUUGUCCCGGUUUAAGCGUGUAGGUAUGUGUUCCAGGUAAAUCCGGUUCACUUUAACACUGAGGCGUGACGACGAGGCACUACGGUGCUGAAGCAACAAAUGCCCUGCUUCCAGGAAAAGCCUCUAAGCAUCAGGUAACAUCAAAUCGUACCCCAAACCGACACAGGUGGUCAGGUAGAGAAUACCAAGGCGCUUGAGAGAACUCGGGUGAAGGAACUAGGCAAAAUGGUGCCGUAACUUCGGGAGAAGGCACGCUGACACGUAGGUGAAGUGAUUUACUCACGGAGCUGAAGUCAGCCGAAGAUACCAGCUGGCUGCAACUGUUUAUUAAAAACACAGCACUGUGCAAACACGAAAGUGGACGUAUACGGUGUGACGCCUGCCCGGUGCCGGAAGGUUA
RNAcentral lists this ribosomal RNA (1955 nucleotides) under Salmonella enterica. Its description in RNAcentral is "partial 23S ribosomal RNA". It matches the Rfam family "Bacterial large subunit ribosomal RNA", at positions 1 to 1879 of the family's 2925-position model. Lineage: Bacteria; Pseudomonadati; Pseudomonadota; Gammaproteobacteria; Enterobacterales; Enterobacteriaceae. The record is from RNAcentral.